RNAcentral lists this ribosomal RNA (454 nucleotides) under uncultured bacterium. RNAcentral describes it as "bacterial SSU rRNA". It matches the Rfam family "Bacterial small subunit ribosomal RNA", at positions 340 to 784 of the family's 1533-position model. The record is from RNAcentral.
UACGGGAGGCAGCAGUGGGGAAUAUUGCACAAUGGGCGAAAGCCUGAUGCAGCUAUGCCGCGUGUAUGAAGAAGGCCUUAGGGUUGUAAAGUACUUUCAUCGGGGAGGAAAAAACAAAACUAAUAAUUUUAUUUCUUGACGUUACCCGAAAAAGAAGCACCGGCUAACUCCGUGCCAGCAGCCGCGGUAAUACGGAGGGUGCUAGCGUUAAUCAGAAUUACUGGGCGUAAAGAGCACGUAGGUGGUUUUUUUAAGUCAGAUGUGAAAUCCCUGGGCUUAACCUGGAACUGCAUUUUGAAACUGAAAUACUAGAGUAUCGUAGAGGGAGGUAGAAUUCUAGGUGUAGCGGUGAAAUGCGUAGAUAUCUGGAGGAAUACCUGUGGCGAAAGCGGCCUCCUAAACGAAUACUGACACUGAGGUGCGAAAGCGUGGGGAGCAAACGAGGGAUUAGGAU